AUGAAUAUGUAUUUUAUCGAUAGUAUCGUUUAAGAAACCGGAUAAUAUAUUUGACCUCAUUGCGUCACUUUAAUUAUGCAGAUUUAUGCACGACGCUACUACACUCGCACAAACUGAGAAGAGUUAGUUCAUUGAGAAUGGAUUGAAACUGAUGAAGAGCUGGAAGGAGUUAACUGAUGAGUGGACAUUACAACAUUUCUUAUAUUUGCAAGAUGAAGCAGAAAGUGCCAUGCAGGAUGAUGCUUUUCUACAGUGGAUGAUGAAGGCAUGCUGGUUACAAACCCAGGAGAGGAACAAAAAACCAGAUAUUGACCGGAUCAUAUCUAGAGAUGCGGGCCUACUAUACACUUCAUACGAGCAAGUGUGCUAAUAUACAAUAUUUGGGUUAUCAUUACAGCCCUUUCUUCUGAAAACUAGGCUACAACUGUAUUGAUGAAUGCAGGAGACAUCUACAUGGGACUACGUCUUAAGGAUGCCACCCUCAUAUAAUGAAAGAGGACAGUAGAGAUGGGUUUAAAUUUGAAUAUUUACAUGAUAUUUAUUUAUUA
Long non-coding RNA from Strongylocentrotus purpuratus (purple sea urchin), 548 nucleotides. RefSeq lists it as uncharacterized. The record is from RefSeq and is a predicted model, not a curated record. Lineage: Eukaryota; Metazoa; Echinodermata; Echinoidea; Camarodonta; Strongylocentrotidae. The transcript is spliced from 4 exons.